GGGGAAUAUUGCACAAUGGGCGAAAGCCUGAUGCAGCAACGCCGCGUGAGUGAUGAAGGCCUUCGGGUUGUAAAGCUCUGUCUUCUGGGACGAUAAUGACGGUACCAGAGGAGGAAGCCACGGCUAACUACGUGCCAGCAGCCGCGGUAAUACGUAGGUGGCAAGCGUUGUCCGGAUUUACUGGGCGUAAAGGGCGCGUAGGCGGCGCGGUAAGUCACUUGUGAAAUCUCUGAGCUUAACUCAGAACGGCCAAGUGAUACUGCUGUGCUAGAGUGCGGAAGAGGCAACCGGAAUUCUUGGUGUAGCGGUGAAAUGCGUAGAUAUCAAGAGGAACACCUGAGGCGAAGGCGGGUUGCUGGGCCGACACUGACGCUGAUGCGCGAAAGCCAGGGGAGCAAACG
RNAcentral lists this ribosomal RNA (401 nucleotides) under uncultured bacterium. RNAcentral describes it as "bacterial SSU rRNA". It matches the Rfam family "Bacterial small subunit ribosomal RNA", at positions 356 to 774 of the family's 1533-position model. The record is from RNAcentral.